UACGUAGGGGGCAAGCGUUGUCCGGAUUCAUUGGGCGUAAAGAGCGUGUAGGUGGCGACGUAAGUCGGGUGUGAAAGCCCCGGGCUCAACCUGGGAAUUGCAUUCGAGACUGCAUUGCUGGAGUACGGAAGAGGAGGGCGGAAUUCCCGGUGUAGCGGUGAAAUGCGUAGAUAUCGGGAGGAACAUCAGUGGCGAAGGCGGCCCUCUGGUCCAGUACUGACACUCAAGUGCGAAAGCGUGGGGAGCAAACAGG
RNAcentral lists this ribosomal RNA (253 nucleotides) under uncultured bacterium. Its description in RNAcentral is "partial 16S ribosomal RNA". It matches the Rfam family "Bacterial small subunit ribosomal RNA", at positions 524 to 776 of the family's 1533-position model. The record is from RNAcentral.